RNAcentral lists this long non-coding RNA (1067 nucleotides) under Heterocephalus glaber (naked mole-rat). RNAcentral's name for it is "lncRNA (ENSHGLG00100044826.1)". Lineage: Eukaryota; Metazoa; Chordata; Mammalia; Rodentia; Bathyergidae. The record is from RNAcentral.
CGUGCAGCCGGGAGCCUGCGAUGGCCCGAGGUGAUGGCCUCUGGGUUGAAUGCAGUCACUUUCUGUCCCUCCUGGGUUUCACUGCUGACCCUGUGUCCCGCAGCUCUCAGAGGCCCCGUGGUGACACUCGGUUAGCCACGCUCCUCUCCUCCUUCCGUCCCUCUCACUGCUCUGAUUUGUGCCCCUGACCCCACAUGCACCACUGGACCACCGUGAGGGAAGGACGGUCUGGAUUUCAAGGUCCCUGGCAGGGAAACAACAGUGUCAAGCUCACAGACGUCCUCCGAGAUCACCAUCAAGCACCCCGGGAGGAAACAGGACCUUGGUGUGGCCGGUGAGGAGCAGGUGCUUUAUGAGCUCAUCGCUGUGGCCCGCCGCCCCCCGAUCUGUGUCAGUGUGAAGUAAGAGGCCAGCAAAGAGGUGUCAGGGAAACAAGGCAGCCCCUGCCCCUUCCUCCUGCUGCCACGUGACACUGAGCCGCCCACGCGCCAAGUGGGGCCCUUGUGCUGGUGAAGCAUCAACCCCGAGUCCUCAGUCACCACCGUGGAGUCAGAGAGCGGACCCGGGUCACCCUCCCCCAGCAGGCAGAAGAAAGUGAAUGGAGGCCUGGACGCCAGGGUGGGUCCUGCCCCCGUGUCCAUGGGAACCAGCCUUGACUGAGAAGAGGAAGUGGGGUGAGGACAGCCUUGACAUCCCACAUUUCUCCUUCCAGAGGACACAAGAACCUUCAGUGUCAACGUUCACCAGCACACCACCCCCGGAAAGUCUGGAAUCCUCAGUCAGAAAAGUUCAGUAUCUCGAAGUGGGCCCCCAUCCAGGUGUCUGCCCUGGGGACAGAGGCACCUGUGUUCACUGUCACAGUCAACUUUCUUCUUUCAUGUCAAAAUUGAUUCUGAAAACUCAACAGAGCCCAUCACCUUCACUUUUGUGGGACUAGCAGCACUGGGCCACCUCUCACAGCCUGUCAUACUAUAUUCAGUGUGAGCAAGAGUUUUCUAAAGCUGGGCUCUGGCCAUCUUUGCAUAAUGUAUGAAUUAAAAAUAAUUUUAUUCCCUCCUCUGUCUUUG